Molecule: ribosomal RNA, 345 nt
Filed under: uncultured bacterium
Lineage: Bacteria
Description: bacterial SSU rRNA
Rfam family: Bacterial small subunit ribosomal RNA
Source: RNAcentral
GAGUUUGAUCAUGGCUCAGGACGAACGCUGGCGGCGUGCUUAACACAUGCAAGUCGAACGGAGCUGGGGGCGACUCCAGCUUAGUGGCGGACGGGUGCGUAACACGUGAGGAAGGUGCCUUUCGGUGGGGGAUAGCCGGCCCAACGGCCGGGUAAUACCGCGUACGCCCGCUUGGUCGCAUGACCUGGCGGGGAAAGUCGCAAGACGCCGAUUGAGCCCCUCGCGGCCUAUCAGCUUGUUGGUGAGGUAAUGGCUCACCAAGGCUACGACGGGUAGCUGGUCUGAGAGGAUGGCCAGCCACAUUGGGACUGAGACACGGCCCAGACUCCUACGGGAGGCAGCAGA